This 72-nucleotide transfer RNA is filed under the name Pristimantis jimenezi. RNAcentral's name for it is "tRNA-Ile". It matches the Rfam family "tRNA". Rfam says of the family: Transfer RNA (tRNA) molecules are approximately 80 nucleotides in length. Their secondary structure includes four short double-helical elements and three loops (D, anti-codon, and T loops). Lineage: Eukaryota; Metazoa; Chordata; Amphibia; Anura; Strabomantidae. The record is from RNAcentral.
GGAAGCGUGCCCGAAAGUUAAGGAACUCCUCGAUGGGGAGAACCACAGGGGUUCAAAUCCCCUCGCUUUCCC